UACGAAGGGGGCUAGCGUUGUUCGGAAUUACUGGGCGUAAAGCGCACGUAGGCGGGUUUGUAAGUAGGGGGUGAAAUCCCAGAGCUCAACUCUGGAACUGCCUUCUAAACUGCAAGCCUGGAGGUCAGGAGAGGCGAGUGGAAUACCGAGUGUAGAGGUGAAAUUCGUAGAUAUUCGGUGGAACACCAGUGGCGAAGGCGACUCGCUGGACCAACACUGACGCUGAGUGAGCGAAAGCCAGGGGAGCAAACGGG
Molecule: ribosomal RNA, 254 nt
Filed under: uncultured bacterium
Lineage: Bacteria
Description: partial 16S ribosomal RNA
Rfam family: Bacterial small subunit ribosomal RNA
Source: RNAcentral